This 498-nucleotide ribosomal RNA is filed under the name Pediococcus acidilactici. Its description in RNAcentral is "bacterial SSU rRNA". It matches the Rfam family "Bacterial small subunit ribosomal RNA", at positions 61 to 529 of the family's 1533-position model. Lineage: Bacteria; Bacillati; Bacillota; Bacilli; Lactobacillales; Lactobacillaceae. The record is from RNAcentral.
GUUAAUUGAUCAGGACGUGCUUGCACUGAAUGAGAUUUUAACACGAAGUAANUGGCGGACGGGUGAGUAACACGUGGGUAACCUGCCCAGAAGCAGGGGAUAACACCUGGAAACAGAUGCUAAUACCGUAUAACAGAGAAAACCGCCUGGUUUUCUUUUAAAAGAUGGCUCUGCUAUCACUUCUGGAUGGACCCGCGGCGCAUUAGCUAGUUGGUGAGGUAACGGCUCACCAAGGCGAUGAUGCGUAGCCGACCUGAGAGGGUAAUCGGCCACAUUGGGACUGAGACACGGCCCAGACUCCUACGGGAGGCAGCAGUAGGGAAUCUUCCACAAUGGACGCAAGUCUGAUGGAGCAACGCCGCGUGAGUGAAGAAGGUUUUCGGCUCGUAAAGCUCUGUUGUUAAAAAAAAACGUGGGUGAAAGUAACUGUUCACCCAGUGACGGUAUUUAACCAGAAAGCCACGGCUAACUACGUGCCAGCAGCCGCGGUAAUACGUA